Molecule: unclassified non-coding RNA, 417 nt
Filed under: Hevea brasiliensis (rubber tree)
Lineage: Eukaryota; Viridiplantae; Streptophyta; Magnoliopsida; Malpighiales; Euphorbiaceae
Source: RNAcentral
GUUUUAUGUGUGUUCUGAGUGCCUCUAGUGCGUCGACGGUGUUGGUUUCAGCAUUAGGCAGGAUUAACGGGCUUUACUCUUUGCUCAAGGAAGGAAGAAGGUUCUCCGAGAGUUUAUAAGAACCGAUCGAGGGGUGUUGCCUUCCUGCUUAAUGGGCCUUAUCUCCUCUCCUACUGCUUUUCCCUUCACGGUUUAAUAGCUCUUGUUCUAUGAUUUUGUUUGCUAUUGAUAGUUCUAUAAGGGUUUGCUAGAUUUGGUUGGCCCUAAUUCUGUUUUUGGCAGAAGGGCUAUCUCCUUAGGUGUCGAUGCUUUGUUCUGAAAAACGGAGGAACUCCAUACUCGGGUGUUCCGUGGUUAAAUGGUGCUACAUAGGUUGAGAAACCGAGCCUUCAUUCGAGUAGGGUUGUUGUAUUUUCU